This is a long non-coding RNA of Labrus mixtus (cuckoo wrasse), 485 nucleotides long. RefSeq lists it as uncharacterized. The transcript has 5 exons. The record is from RefSeq and is a predicted model, not a curated record. NCBI's taxonomy places the organism in Eukaryota, Metazoa, Chordata, Actinopteri, Labriformes, Labridae.
GGCUUAAACACUGGCAACUUGGUUAUAUCUGGAGUACGCAAUGUGACCACCUUUUCCCUGAGAUGUAAAGAGGUCAUUAAUGAUGACUUGCCUGUUGGAGAGAUCCUGGAAUGCUGGUCUGCCCUAAAGAUGGAGUCACAGAUCUGUGCAAAGUUUCACAGAAUUACAAACAUCAACCUGAAAAACCACUUCUAUGCUGAGUUAGACAGACUUGUCUUGAGGGUUUGUUCAGGAAGAAAGCUGCACGCACAGGGAAGGUAUCUGAAGUCCUGAAUCAGCUCUUCAACACUUAUGACCUCCAGGAACAAGUUGACGUCCAACGUGCUGCUGUCCUCCGUGCUCUCCCUACAUAUCUGUAUGAGGAUGACUCCAGGUUUCUGAAGCUGUUGGAUGUGGCCCUGUCAGAUGAAUGCAAAUCAACAACAUACCAGUCGGGCUCCUCAUGAUCAGUGCCACUUCAACAGAUGCUGUGGUCGUCUGCCCCC